UACGAAGGGGGCAAGCGUUGUUCGGAAUUACUGGGCGUAAAGGGCGCGUAGGCGGCUUAUCAAGUCAGGCGUGAAAUUCCCGGGCUCAACCUGGGGGCUGCGCUUGAUACUGAUUGGCUUGAAUGCGGGAGAGGAUAGUGGAAUUCCCAGUGUAGAGGUGAAAUUCGUAGAUAUUGGGAAGAACACCGGUGGCGAAGGCGGCUAUCUGGCCCGUAAUUGACGCUGAGGCGCGAAAGCGUGGGGAGCGAACAGG
This 253-nucleotide ribosomal RNA is filed under the name uncultured bacterium. RNAcentral describes it as "partial 16S ribosomal RNA". It matches the Rfam family "Bacterial small subunit ribosomal RNA", at positions 524 to 776 of the family's 1533-position model. The record is from RNAcentral.